This 208-nucleotide ribosomal RNA is filed under the name uncultured bacterium. RNAcentral's name for it is "partial 16S ribosomal RNA". It matches the Rfam family "Bacterial small subunit ribosomal RNA", at positions 1294 to 1500 of the family's 1533-position model. The record is from RNAcentral.
CGGAUUGUAGUCUGCAACUCGACUACAUGAAGCUGGAAUCGCUAGUAAUCGCAGAUCAGAAUGCUGCGGUGAAUACGUUCCCGGGUCUUGUACACACCGCCCGUCACACCAUGGGAGUCGGAAAUGCCCGAAGCCGGUGACCAAACCAAUAAGGAAGGAGCCGUCGAAGGCAGGUCUGAUAACUGGGGUGAAGUCGUAACAAGGUAAC